Molecule: non-coding RNA, 382 nt
Filed under: Streptomyces sp. NRRL B-1568
Lineage: Bacteria; Bacillati; Actinomycetota; Actinomycetes; Kitasatosporales; Streptomycetaceae
Description: bacterial LSU rRNA
Rfam family: Bacterial large subunit ribosomal RNA
Source: RNAcentral
CCCAGGGUAAGUCGGGACCUAAGGCGAGGCCGACAGGCGUAGUCGAUGGACAACCGGUUGAUAUUCCGGUACCCGCUUUGAAACGCCCAAUAUCGAAUCAGGCGAUGCUAAGUCCGUGAAGCCGCCCUGGAUCCUUCGGGUGAAGGGGAGUGGUGGAGCCGACGAACCAGACUUGUAGUAGGUAAGCGAUGGGGUGACGCAGGAAGGUAGUCCAGCCCGGGCGGUGGUAGUCCCGGGGUAAGGGUGUAGGGCGCUGUCUAGGCAAAUCCGGACAGCAUGAAGCCUGAGACCUGAUGCCGAGCCGAUUGUGGUGAAGUGGAUGAUCCUAUGCUGUCGAGAAAAGCCUCUAGCGAGUUUCAUGGCGGCCCGUACCCUAAACCGA